RNAcentral lists this ribosomal RNA (505 nucleotides) under uncultured bacterium. RNAcentral's name for it is "partial 16S ribosomal RNA". It matches the Rfam family "Bacterial small subunit ribosomal RNA", at positions 28 to 507 of the family's 1533-position model. The record is from RNAcentral.
GACGAACGCUGGCGGCGUGCCUAAUACAUGCAAGUAGAACGCACAGUUUAUACCGUAGCUUGCUACACCAUAGACUGUGAGUUGCGAACGGGUGAGUAACGCGUAGGUAACCUGCCUGGUAGCGGGGGAUAACUAUUGGAAACGAUAGCUAAUACCGCAUAAUAUUAAUUAUUGCAUGAUAAUUAAUUGAAAGGUGCAAUUGCGCCACUACCAGAUGGACCUGCGUUGUAUUAGCUAGUAGGUGAGGUAACGGCUCACCUAGGCGACGAUACAUAGCCGACCUGAGAGGGUGAUCGGCCACACUGGGACUGAGACACGGCCCAGACUCCUACGGGAGGCAGUAGUAGGGAAUCUUCGGCAAUGGACGAAAGUCUGACCGAGCAACGCCGCGUGAGUGAAGAAGGUUUUCGGAUCGUAAAGCUCUGUUGUAAGAGAAGAACGGGUGUGAGAGUGGAAAGUUCACACUGUGACGGUAUCUUACCAGAAAGGGACGGCUAACUACGUG